This is a long non-coding RNA of Mastomys coucha (southern multimammate mouse), 442 nucleotides long. RefSeq lists it as uncharacterized. The transcript is spliced from 3 exons. Lineage: Eukaryota; Metazoa; Chordata; Mammalia; Rodentia; Muridae. The record is from RefSeq and is a predicted model, not a curated record.
GAAGGUGGAGCCAUCCAUUCUUAUGGACAGUCUGCCCUCCACUAAUCCGCCCCAGAAAUGUCUUCACAGACUGGCCCAGGGCCUUCUGAGAUGGACAGAAAACCAGCGGCCAUCCAGCAACCUUCAGGCCUUCAACCACAUUAGGUUUGCUGAGCUCUCCAGCUUCAUGGACUGAGCAGCCACGGUGUCUCUGAUUCUCCAACGUGCCGAUAGCCAUGGCUGGACUACCCAGCAUGUGCUAUAUGUAUCCUGUAAGGCAUCAUCUGAAAAGCCUUUCUGCAGGCCAUCGCAUCCUGUGCGCUGAUGGAUUCGCUGUACAGUUCUUCAUCUAAGAAGAUGCUAUGGUCUCCCUGGCUGAGUCCUCCUCCUGGAGUAAAUGAUCGGAUCCUGUCCCCUUCUUCUGAGAGAGCACACUCCCUUGCAGACAACACUCAAGUCCAUC